ACAUAAGGGGAGUAAGGGAUAGGAAUUCAGUGUAGCAACGGAUAACAAGGCAUAAACAUACUACUUUAAAAAAAGUUGAAUUUUACAAAGACAAUAAAGUGGACAUGGAUAUGAAAUCUUGUAAAUGAACACAUUGGGGUGAUACUAGAAUCCAAAUUGGGACAUACCAGUUUUAAAAAAAGACAAGCAAAAGAAGGCAGUAGUCUUGUGAAAAGCCAGAGUGCAGACAAGAAAGACGAGAUUGUGAGAAUUGUAAGGUGAAGUCUGAAGUGUAUUCAAUUAUGUUGGGAAAAGAAAAAGAGUCGUG
Molecule: long non-coding RNA, 307 nt
Filed under: Nicotiana benthamiana
Lineage: Eukaryota; Viridiplantae; Streptophyta; Magnoliopsida; Solanales; Solanaceae
Description: long non-coding RNA (NBEN_LNC009473)
Source: RNAcentral